This 63-nucleotide transfer RNA is filed under the name Brachynopus latus. Its description in RNAcentral is "tRNA-His". Lineage: Eukaryota; Metazoa; Arthropoda; Insecta; Coleoptera; Staphylinidae. The record is from RNAcentral.
AUUUAAAUAGUUUAUUAAAAAUAUUGAUUUGUGGAAUCAAAGAAAUGAUAGUCAUUUUAAAUA